RNAcentral lists this long non-coding RNA (603 nucleotides) under Homo sapiens (human). Its description in RNAcentral is "HSALNT0129534". Lineage: Eukaryota; Metazoa; Chordata; Mammalia; Primates; Hominidae. The record is from RNAcentral.
UAGAAUUUUCAAAGCUGUAAGAAAGAGGUGAGGAUGCUGAGAUGUAGAGAGACUGAUUUGCUCAAGAUAACAAAGAGUUUUAUUGAUUUGGGAACCCAUGGAAGGGGGUCAGCUGUGAGAUAUCACAUGAUCAGACUGACUGCCUGACCAGACUGACUGCCAUCCUGUUAAAGGGGAAUGAAUCACAGUUCAUCUCGCAGAUUUAUGGCAUGCCUACAGAAAAAGUACCUUAUGAUGCAAACCUGAAAGUUUAAAUAAUCUCCUGAAAGUUCCACAAUCAGGUGCAGAGAACUCCAGGAGCUGUUUUUAAAGAAGAUUAAGGUCUCACCCCUGCAGUACGCUUCUUUCCGUUGGGUUUCCUCCGCCUGUAAGUCACCUUUCUUGAAGGGGUAUCUUCAAGAAGACCCAAGCCUGCCUAGCUUUCCUGGUGUCCUCCUGGCCAUAGGAAACUCUCCUGUUUUUGUCUCACUGCACCGUUACCUCUUCUUUUCCAUACCAUUCUACUCCAGCCAGGUUCCAGCUUUCAUCAUUCUCCAGAGAAGACAUCUCCAUUUUCACAUAAGCUCCCCAACUCUCAAGAAGACAUGUCAAACUUCAAAGAAC